UCCGCCGUGGUGUAAUGGCAGCACCUUGGAUUUUGGUUCCAAUGGUUCAGGUUCGAAUCCUGGCGGCGGAGC
This 72-nucleotide transfer RNA is filed under the name Actinokineospora fastidiosa. RNAcentral describes it as "tRNA-Gln". It matches the Rfam family "tRNA". From Rfam's summary of the family: Transfer RNA (tRNA) molecules are approximately 80 nucleotides in length. The record is from RNAcentral. Lineage: Bacteria; Bacillati; Actinomycetota; Actinomycetes; Pseudonocardiales; Pseudonocardiaceae. RNAcentral also lists the same sequence under 2 other names.